UGGGGAAUUUUCCGCAAUGGGCGAAAGCCUGACGGAGUGACGCCGCGUGGGGGACGAAGGCCUUCGGGUUGUAAACCCCUGCCAGAGGGAAAGAAGGGUGUCGGCGCGAUAACCGCCGGCACUUGACGGUACCUUCAGAGGAAGCCCCGGCCAACUCCGGGCCAGCAGCCGCGGUAAGACAGAGGGGGCAAGCGUUGCUCGGAAGCACUGGGCGUAAAGGGCGCGUAGGCGGGAUGGCAAGUCAGUCGUGAAAUCUCUCGGCUCAACCGAGAAACGUCGGCUGAUACUGCCGUUCUUGAGGGAUGCAGAGGAGACUGGAAUUCCCGGUGUAGCGGUGAAAUGUGUAGAGAUCGGGAGGAACACCGGUGGCGAAGGCGGGUCUCUGGGCAUUUCCUGACGCUGAGGCGCGAAAGCGUGGGGAGCAA
This 425-nucleotide ribosomal RNA is filed under the name uncultured bacterium. Its description in RNAcentral is "bacterial SSU rRNA". It matches the Rfam family "Bacterial small subunit ribosomal RNA", at positions 355 to 771 of the family's 1533-position model. The record is from RNAcentral.